AUUGAACGCUGGCGGCAUGCCUAACACAUGCAAGUCGAACGGCAGCACGGCAGUAGCAAUACUGUGGGUGGCGAGUGGCGGACGGGUGAGGAAUACGUCGGAAUCUGCCCAGUCGUGGGGGAUAACUAGCCGAAAGGUUAGCUAAUACCGCAUACGACCGAGAGGUGAAAGCGGGGGACCGCAAGGCCUCGCGCGAUUGGAUGAGCCGACGUCGGAUUAGCUAGUUGGUGGGGUAAAGGCCCACCAAGGCGAUGAUCCGUAGCUGGUCUGAGAGGAUGAUCAGCCACACUGGAACUGAGACACGGUCCAGACUCCUACGGGAGGCAGCAGUGGGGAAUAUUGGACAAUGGGCGCAAGCCUGAUCCAGCAAUGCCGCGUGUGUGAGAAGGCCUCGGUUGUAAG
This 402-nucleotide ribosomal RNA is filed under the name uncultured bacterium. RNAcentral describes it as "bacterial SSU rRNA". It matches the Rfam family "Bacterial small subunit ribosomal RNA", at positions 29 to 429 of the family's 1533-position model. The record is from RNAcentral.